This 73-nucleotide transfer RNA is filed under the name Lucilia cuprina (Australian sheep blowfly). It matches the Rfam family "tRNA". From Rfam's summary of the family: Transfer RNA (tRNA) molecules are approximately 80 nucleotides in length. The record is from Rfam by way of RNAcentral. Lineage: Eukaryota; Metazoa; Arthropoda; Insecta; Diptera; Calliphoridae.
CCUCCGGUAGGAUAGUGGUUAGUGUUCUAGUCUGGUAGACCGGAGGUGGUGGGUUCGAUUCCCACCCGUGGCA